UACGUAGGUGGCGAGCGUUGUCCGGAUUUACUGGGCGUAAAGGAUGCGUAGGUGGAAACUUAAGUGAGAUGUGAAAUCCCCGGGCUUAACCUGGGAACUGCAUUUCAAACUGGGUAUCUAGAGUGCAGGAGAGGAAAGCGGAAUUCCUAGUGUAGCGGUGAAAUGCGUAGAUAUUAGGAAGAACAUCAGUGGCGAAGGCGGCUUUCUGGACUGUAACUGACACUGAGGCAUGAAAGCGUGGGGAGCAAACAGG
This 253-nucleotide ribosomal RNA is filed under the name uncultured bacterium. RNAcentral describes it as "partial 16S ribosomal RNA". It matches the Rfam family "Bacterial small subunit ribosomal RNA", at positions 524 to 776 of the family's 1533-position model. The record is from RNAcentral.